This is a long non-coding RNA of Lolium rigidum, 1030 nucleotides long. RefSeq lists it as uncharacterized. Lineage: Eukaryota; Viridiplantae; Streptophyta; Magnoliopsida; Poales; Poaceae. The record is from RefSeq and is a predicted model, not a curated record. The transcript is spliced from 7 exons.
CCCAUCCCGAACCCACCGGCUUUCUCUUCCCCGAGAGCCUGGACAUCAGAUCUACCAUGUGUUCUUGAGUUCCUUGCUCACCCCUCCUCGAAUCUCCUGUAGGCUUCAGAUCGUCGCGGCUGCCUUCUCCGUCCAUCUGCCGGAGAGCCGCACUGUCGCGUCCAUACUCGUACAUAAGUUCGUCCAUCUCCCACCAUUAUCAGAUAAGGAAAUUUACUACCCAGGAGGAUUGUAUGGAGACAGACUUGUGCCCCAGCCUGGAUAUUUCGUUGGUUUGCUGAACAGUGUACAUAAUACUUGGAUUCCAGAGAUUCCAGUGUAUAAGCAUGUUAAUUGGUGCGGCCAUAUUCGGCGUACACUGAUGUAUGAAGCAGAGAGAGUGCAGGACCUCAUCAAAAGAGGGGUUAAAGUCAUCCAACCUGGUGGCUGAAGCUUAUACGCCAAGGUACAUUAUCUUGAUAAUCUCCACCUAGAGGGAUUGCCGUUAAGUGAUCGAAUGUUCCCAAGAGCAUUCCUGUUCACUGAAGAUGUUAUGGCUCUUCAUUGGGUAAAGUCACCAAUUGAUGGAUCAAGAGAGUUUCGGCAAUCUAUGAUGAAAAGGGAGUAGAUCUGUGUUAUUCUAGACGCACCUUGCCUUCUGGAUACAGACCACGGAUAGCACAACCGAAUCAUCCUCCGCAAAAAGAAAAGGAUAUCAAACAAUUCAGUGUGAAGAGCAAGGACGCAGAAAAAUUACCACGGGCAUGCGUAUAUUGGAGGCAUCAAAUCGGAGGAACAAUUUGAGAACCCUAAAUAAAGAUCCAGAAAAAAUAAAACCAAGGCUUAGCCCUCUAUGUAGUAGUACAGACCAAGGGGCCAGUGUUCGUUCCGAAUCCGGGAGGCUAAUCGCUGCUCCUCCAAUUUCAAAUGAUGCAUCUCCAACAGCCAUAUCUCCAUUUGAAAUACCUUUCGUCCACCGUGAUGCAUCUGUUUUCCAGUGGCACAACUUUUACGAAUUGUUGAAAAAUGGGAAGGUUGUCCGGCUAGAAUG